Molecule: ribosomal RNA, 500 nt
Filed under: uncultured bacterium
Lineage: Bacteria
Description: partial 16S ribosomal RNA
Rfam family: Bacterial small subunit ribosomal RNA
Source: RNAcentral
AUUGAACGCUGGCGGAAUGCUUUACACAUGCAAGUCGAACGGCAGCACGGACUUCGGUCUGGUGGCGAGUGGCGAACGGGUGAGUAAUGUAUCGGAACGUGCCCAGUCGUGGGGGAUAACGUAGUGAAAAUUACGCUAAUACCGCAUACGAUCUAUGGAUGAAAGCGGGGGAUCGCAAGACCUCGCGCGAUUGGAGCGGCCGAUAUCAGAUUAGGUAGUUGGUGGGGUAAAGGCCCACCAAGCCAACGAUCUGUAGCUGGUCUGAGAGGGCGAACAGCCACACUGGAACUGAGACACGGUCCAGACUCCUACGGGAGGCAGCAGUGGGGAAUUUUGGACAAUGGGCGAAAGCCUGAUUCAGCCAUUCCGCGUGCAGGAUGAAGGCCCUCGGGUUGUAAACUGCUUUUGUACAGAACGAAAAGGUUUCUACUAAUACUAGGAGCUCAUGACGGUACUGUAAGAAUAAGCACCGGCUAACUACGUGCCAGCAGCCGCCGUAA